This 497-nucleotide ribosomal RNA is filed under the name uncultured bacterium. RNAcentral describes it as "partial 16S ribosomal RNA". It matches the Rfam family "Bacterial small subunit ribosomal RNA", at positions 28 to 507 of the family's 1533-position model. The record is from RNAcentral.
GACGAGCGCUGGCGGCGUGCCUAAUACAUGCAAGUUGAGCGCUGAAGGUUGGUACUUGUACCGACUGGAUGAGCAGCGCACGGGUGAGUAACGCGUGGGGAAUCUGCCUUUGAGCGGGGGACAACAUUUGGAAACGAAUGCUAAUACCGCAUAAAAACUUUAAACACAAGUUUUAAGUUUGAAAGAUGCAAUUGCAUCACUCAAAGAAGAUCCCGCGUUGUAUUAGCUAGUUGGUGAGGUAAAGGCUCACCAAGGCGAUGAUACAUAGCCGACCUGAGAGGGUGAUCGGCCACAUUGGGACUGAGACACGGCCCAAACUCCUACGGGAGGCAGCAGUAGGGAAUCUUCGGCAAUGGACGAAAGUCUGACCGAGCAACGCCGCGUGAGUGAAGAAGGUUGUCGGAUCGUAAAACUCGGUUGGUAGAGAAGAACGUUGGUGAGAGUGGAAAGCUCAUCAAGUGACGGUAACUACCCAGAAAGGGACGGCUAACUACGUG